Molecule: ribosomal RNA, 460 nt
Filed under: uncultured bacterium
Lineage: Bacteria
Description: partial 16S ribosomal RNA
Rfam family: Bacterial small subunit ribosomal RNA
Source: RNAcentral
CCUACGGGUGGCAGCAGUGAGGAAUAUUGGUCAAUGGACGAGAGUCUGAACCAGCCAAGUAGCGUGAAGGAUGACUGCCCUAUGGGUUGUAAACUUCUUUUAUAUGGGAAUAAAACGUUCCACGUGUGGGAUUUUGUAUGUACCAUAUGAAUAAGGAUCGGCUAACUCCGUGCCAGCAGCCGCGGUAAUACGGAGGAUCCGAGCGUUAUCCGGAUUUAUUGGGUUUAAAGGGUGCGUAGGUGGAUUGUUAAGUCAGUUGUGAAAGUUUGCGGCCCAACCGUAAAAUUGCAGUUGAAACUGGCAGUCUUGAGUAAAGUAGAGGUGGGCGGAAUUCGUGGUGUAGCGGUGAAAUGCUUAGAUAUCACGAAGAACUCCGAUUGCGAAGGCAGUUCACUGGACUGCAACUGACACUGAGGCUCGAAAGUGUGGGUAUCAAACAGGAUUAGAUACCCCUGUAGUC